GAUGAACGCUGGCGGCGUGCCUAAUACAUGCAAGUCGAGCGAACGGACGAGAAGCUUGCUUCUCUGAUGUUAGCGGCGGACGGGUGAGUAACACGUGGAUAACCUAUCUAUAAGACUGGGAUAACUUCGGGAAACCGGAGCUAAUACCGGAUAAUAUUUUGAACCGCUUGGUUCAAAAGUGAAAGACGGUCUUGCUGUCACUUAUAGAUGGAUCCGCGCUGCAUUAGCUAGUUGGUAAGGUAACGGCUUACCAAGGCAACGAUGCAUAGUUGACCUGUGAGGCUGAACGUCCAGACUGGAACUGAUGCACGGUCGAGAGUCCUACGGGAGGCAGCAGUAGGGAAGCUUACGCAAUAGGCGAAAACCUGACAGAGCAACGCCGCGUGAGUGAUGAAGAUCUUAGAGUGGUAGAACUCUGUUAUAAGGGAAGAACAAAUGUGUAAGUAACUAUGCACAUCUUGACGUUACCUAAUCAGAAAGACAAGGCGAACUACGUG
RNAcentral lists this ribosomal RNA (497 nucleotides) under uncultured bacterium. RNAcentral's name for it is "partial 16S ribosomal RNA". It matches the Rfam family "Bacterial small subunit ribosomal RNA", at positions 28 to 507 of the family's 1533-position model. The record is from RNAcentral.